RNAcentral lists this ribosomal RNA (210 nucleotides) under Salmonella enterica subsp. enterica serovar Tennessee. RNAcentral describes it as "partial 23S ribosomal RNA". It matches the Rfam family "Bacterial large subunit ribosomal RNA", at positions 1252 to 1462 of the family's 2925-position model. Lineage: Bacteria; Pseudomonadati; Pseudomonadota; Gammaproteobacteria; Enterobacterales; Enterobacteriaceae. The record is from RNAcentral.
GAAGGUGUGCGUGAGGCAUGCUGGAGGUAUCAGAAGUGCGAAUGCUGACAUAAGUAACGAUAAAGCGGGUGAAAAGCCCGCUCGCCGGAAGACCAAGGGUUCCUGUCCAACGUUAAUCGGGGCAGGGUGAGUCGACCCCUAAGGCGAGGCCGAAAGGCGUAGUCGAUGGGAAACGGGUUAAUAUUCCCGUACUUGGUGUUACUGCGAAGG